Molecule: long non-coding RNA, 846 nt
Filed under: Triticum aestivum (bread wheat)
Lineage: Eukaryota; Viridiplantae; Streptophyta; Magnoliopsida; Poales; Poaceae
Description: long non-coding RNA (TAES_LNC005064)
Source: RNAcentral
UUCCGGCCAUGGUUUAGGUUUAGCUUCAGGUUCAAACUGCUCAGAACAUCAUACUAUUGCAGUCUAGCUUUCCAACUUUUCUUGGUCCAGAGUAACCAGAGAGAAGUGAAGAACUUAACUAGGUAGAUUAGAUGCCCCUUGUGUUGGUGAGAAUAUUUAUUUUUCUUAACCAAGCUCUCAAGAUACCAAGGAAAUAAUGAUUGUUAACCUACAUACAUCAUGUUCACCCAUCUUCUUCACAACCAGUACAUUUUAUUUUUGCAUGUCCAUUGCUCAUUUUAACUUCUGCCAUUUAUUCCUAGGAGCUCAUAUAUAUUUCUUUUCUUUUCUCCUUUCGCAUAUGGUCUCAUUGUUACUUCAAUAAUAGUAUGAUGCAAUCCAAUUCUUUCUCCAAGAGCCAAUGGUUAAGUUUGUACAUUUUUUGUUUUUGAAAGAUGUCCUACCAGCUCUAUUGUCUAUAAAUGGUCCGGUCUAUGAUUUUUGUCGGGGAUUCGCCGCUUCUUUUGGAGGUACGACGUCUACAUUUGUCAGCUGUUCUGCCACGAAUUCUGAUGCACUUUUAAUGUAUCUUGGAUUAAAACGAGCAUGAGAACUUGCCAAGCCAUCUGGAAAUGCCAUCAGAGCCGAAACAUUUUUUAGGUUGCUGACAGCAUUGAGCUGGACUUGCUUUUUAUGCUACUACUGCUGAAGACAAACUCCAGAGAAGGGAGUGAAAGUAGAAAGAAGAGAGGUUGCACAAGAUGAGUAAUGAUGGGUAGCGGUAGAGGCUGAAACUGUGAUGAUGAUGCGGAUCUGACCAUUAGUAUGUUUCCCAUCAAGGAAAUCUACAAUUUCUAUUAUGAUACA